RNAcentral lists this ribosomal RNA (700 nucleotides) under uncultured haloarchaeon. Its description in RNAcentral is "bacterial SSU rRNA". It matches the Rfam family "Archaeal small subunit ribosomal RNA", at positions 154 to 853 of the family's 1478-position model. The record is from RNAcentral. Lineage: Archaea; Methanobacteriati; Methanobacteriota; Halobacteria; Halobacteriales; Halobacteriaceae.
GCAUACCACACUCACCCUGGAAUGGAGGGUGUGCCAAACGCUCCGGCGCCGAAGGAUGUGGCUGCGGCCGAUUAGGUAGACGGUGGGGUAACGGCCCACCGUGCCGAUAAUCGGUACGGGUCAUGAGAGUGAGAACCCGGAGACGGAAUCUGAGACAAGAUUCCGGGCCCUACGGGGCGCAGCAGGCGCGAAACCUUUACACUGCACGCCAGUGCGAUAAGGGGAUCCCAAGUGCGUAGGCAUAGAGCCUACGCUUUUCUGCACCGUAGGGAGGUUCAGGAACAAGGGCUGGGCAAGACCGGUGCCAGCCGCCGCGGUAAUACCGGCAGCACGAGUGAUGGCCGCUCUUAUUGGGCCUAAAGCGUCCGUAGCUGGCCGCGCAAGUCUAUCGGGAAAUCCGCACGCCUAACGUGCGGGCGUCCGGUGGAAACUGUGUGGCUUGGGACCGGAAGAUCCAGAGGGUACGUCCGGGGUAGGAGUGAAAUCCCGUAAUCCUGGACGGACCACCGGUGGCGAAAGCGCUCUGGAAAGACGGAUCCGACGGUGAGGGACGAAAGCUCGGGUCACGAACCGGAUUAGAUACCCGGGUAGUCCGAGCUGUAAACGAUGUCUGCUAGGUGUGCCACAGGCUACGAGCCUGUGGUGUGCCGUAGGGAAGCCGUGAAGCAGACCGCCUGGGAAGUACGUCCGCAAGGAGUAA